This 499-nucleotide ribosomal RNA is filed under the name uncultured bacterium. RNAcentral describes it as "partial 16S ribosomal RNA". It matches the Rfam family "Bacterial small subunit ribosomal RNA", at positions 28 to 507 of the family's 1533-position model. The record is from RNAcentral.
GACGAACGCUGGCGGCGUGCCUAAUACAUGCAAGUCGAGCGAAGUUUUUCUGGUGCUUGCACUAGAAAAACUUAGCGGCGAACGGGUGAGUAACACGUAAAGAACCUGCCUCAUAGACUGGGACAACUAUUGGAAACGAUAGCUAAUACCGGAUAACAGCAUUAACUGCAUGGUUGAUGUUUAAAAGUUGGUUUUGCUAACACUAUGAGAUGGCUUUGCGGUGCAUUAGCUAGUUGGUGGGGUAAAGGCCUACCAAGGCGACGAUGCAUAGCCGACCUGAGAGGGUGAUCAGCCACACUGGGACUGAGACACGGCCCAGACUCCUACGGGAGGCAGCAGUAGGGAAUAUUCCACAAUGGGCGAAAGCCUGACGGAGCAACGCCGCGUGAGUGAAGAAGGAUUUCGGUUCGUAAAGCUCUGUUGUUAGGGAAGAAUGAUUGUGUAGUAACUAUACACAGUAGAGACGGUACCUAACCAGAAAGCCACGGCUAACUACGUG